GGGGGGGGGGGGGGGGGGGGGGGGGGGGGGGGGGGGGGGGGGGGGGGGGGGGGGGGGGGGGGGUGGUGGGGUGGCGGGCGGGGGGGUGGCGCGGGGGUGGCCUGCGCGGGGCUUUGGGGUAGCUUCAGGGAGCUGGGGCUAAUACCGGAUAGGAGCUCCUGCUGCAUGGUGGGGGUUGGACAGUUUCGGCGGUUGGGGAUGGACUCGCGGCUUAUCAGCUUGUUGGUGGGGUAGUGGCUUACCAAGGCUUUGACGGGUAGCCGGCCUGAGAGGGUGACCGGCCACAUUGGGACUGAGAUACGGCACAGACUCCUACGGGAGGCAGCAGUGGGGAAUAUUGCACAAUGGGCGGAAGCCUGAUGCAGCAACGCCGCGUGCGGGAUGACGGCCUUCGGGUUGUAAACCGCUUUCGCCUGUGACGAAGCGUGAGUGACGGUAAUGGGUAAAGAAGCACCGGCUAACUACGUG
RNAcentral lists this ribosomal RNA (468 nucleotides) under uncultured bacterium. RNAcentral's name for it is "partial 16S ribosomal RNA". The stretch from base 64 to 468 matches the Rfam family "Bacterial small subunit ribosomal RNA", at positions 37 to 507 of the family's 1533-position model. The record is from RNAcentral.